RNAcentral lists this ribosomal RNA (252 nucleotides) under uncultured bacterium. Its description in RNAcentral is "partial 16S ribosomal RNA". It matches the Rfam family "Bacterial small subunit ribosomal RNA", at positions 524 to 776 of the family's 1533-position model. The record is from RNAcentral.
UACAGAGGGUGCAAGCGUUGUUCGGAAUUAUUGGGCGUAAAGCGCGUGUAGGCGGCUUUGCAAGUCGGGUGUGAAAGCCCUCAGCUCAACGGAGGAAGUGCGCCCGAAACUGCAGAGCUUGAGUGCCGGAGAGGGUGGCGGAAUUCCCCAAGUAGAGGUGAAAUUCGUAGAUAUGGGGAGGAACCCCGGUGGCGAAGGAGGCCACCUGGCCGGUACUGACGCUGAGGCGCGAAAGCGUGGGGAGCAAACAGG